Long non-coding RNA from Protopterus annectens (West African lungfish), 2613 nucleotides. RefSeq lists it as uncharacterized. The transcript is spliced from 5 exons. The record is from RefSeq and is a predicted model, not a curated record. Lineage: Eukaryota; Metazoa; Chordata; Ceratodontiformes; Protopteridae.
CUUCUGUACACUGUGUACCACUGAAGACAUUAUUUUGGGCAGAACUUAUUUCUCUCUCUCUGGUUGUCUGGUGAUAACUCAUCAAAAGUUCAGGCCAAGAGGAAGUAACUGCUGGUGUUGUGGAGUGUGUACACAAUUCAGACAAGCAUGGAGAAUCAGCAAACCGAUGCAGUGAAAAUGGUGUAGCAGGUGUUGCCAAGAAAGAAGAUGGCACUAGGGUAGACUGACUACUAUCAGGUUAUACACACCUGUAAUAAGAAGAUUAUAUGACUGACUAUCCAGCCGGACCAGUACUUUUCUUGAGCCAUGGAGUCUGGCAGAUAUUAUAGCGAUACCUGAGUGGAUCGUUUGUUUCUGCUAUCACCAUCACCCAUCAGACUUCAGCUACAACAUAUUUUUGCUGUUGUGGAACAGCUGAAGCAAUUCCUCAGAAGCAUGCACAAGAUGGUGAAACAAGCUUCACAGGACAUUUUUGUCAAGACAAAACACAGCUUUUCUGAAUGCAGCAGUAGCAGUAAAGAAAAUGAUGAUGCAAUAGAACGGAUUCUAAAGAAAUGAAGACGAAGAGUCUGCAAUACUUUUUCUUGGAAGAAUGAUCCCUUAUAUACUGAGUUGGGUUUUAUAGACAUAAACAAUGGUGAACUGUGAAAACAACAAUGCAUGGUAUGCAGAGAAGUGCUGUGUAAUGAAGCAAUUAAACCAUUACAACUUGAGGCAUUUACACAUAAAACAAACAAAAAAACCCUGAAAACUAAAACAGUUCUUUGAAUUAAAUAUCUGAUAGAAGCAAAUGUUCAGUAUUUAAAAUAUCAACACUGGUGCUUUGUGAGCUUCUUAUAAAGUAGCAUUUUGGUUUGCGAAGACUUAAAAUGAUAAACAAUUAUGGAUGAAAGACUGCUUCAAAGAUGUUUGCUUGGAAAUGUUACGAGUCUGCAGCAAAUAUGGUAUCUCAAGUAUCACUUUCCAAUGACACCAUAACUCAACCUAUUCAGAAACUGGCUAAUGAUAAGGAAGACCAUUUCACAGAAGAAAUAUAGCUAGCAAAAUAUUUUUCAUUGCAGCUUGACAAAUACACAUAUAGUGCUUACAUGGCAAUUAUUUUAGUCUAUAUGUGAUUUUAAUAUGAUGGUGAUGUAAAGGAAAUUAUUUUUUCUGCUUCAAUGCCAGCAAAUACAACUAGCUCUGAACUGUAUAAAACUGUGAAGGAUUACAUUGUUGAAAAAUAUAGCUUAGUAUUUAAGUCUUAUGUAGUGGUUUGCUCUGACAGUGCAGCUACAAUGAUAGGAAAACAUUCUGGAGUAGUUACCCAGGAUAGGGAGCUUGUGCCAGAAUGUACAUCAAUGCUCUGCUUCCUUCAUCAAGAAAGUCUUGCUACAAAAAAACUGUCAGCUGAACUAAACAGUGUGCUCAGUGAUGCAGUAAAAUUUUUGAGUUAUGUAAAGGCCAAAGCAUUACAUUUUAGAUUAUUCUCUUUGUUAUAUGAUAGUAUGGAAACUGAUUAUAAACAACCAUUAUUGCAUGCUGGGGUACAAUGAUUAUCGAGGGAAAGAUUCGAUUGGGAAUGUUUGAACUACAGAAAAACUCUUCGUGGUUCUGCAAGAUAAGAAACUAGAAGUGAACUGGACAGCAAGACUCACUUUUUGUAUGAUAUCUUUGGUAUUUGUAAUGAUCCUAAUACUUCUAUGCAAGGAAGAAAUGCAACAUGGGUUUCAAUGGCAGAUAAGAUCGAAGGGCAAAAUCAAAAGUUAAAAGCUUGAAAGAACAGAGAUUCUACAGAUUGUUCUGAAAUGCUCCAUAACUUGACAAUAUCUAUCAGUGCUGAUCACACUUGACAACAUGAUGAUCUUGACAUUACACAUCUGUGAAAAAUUAUCACUAAACACCUUACAAAUUUGACAGAAUAAUUAUUAUUAUCCUUUCUAUCAGAAGCAGAUCCACUCACAGGAAAUUUAUGGAUCCAGUUCCAUUUUUUUCACCUAAAGAUAACUUAAAUUAAACUAUAACUUUACAAGCUAAAUUGUUAGAACUGGCUACUGAUAAAGGCUUGAAGAUGAAAUUUGAAAAUACUGCAUCUCUUGCCUCAUUUCUGGAUACAAAUUAAAAUGAAUAGCCUGAGUUGCUGAAAUUUCUUUAAAAUCUCUCCUUUCAUUCUUGUCAACAUAACUCUAUGAAACUGUCUCUCUACUAUGAAUGUUAUUAAAAGAAAAUAUAGAAACAGUUUAGAUAUGUAUUAUUCCCUUUGAGUAGCAUUGUCAUCAAUACAACCUCAUUUAGAUAAGUUAAUAAGCAAGAAACAACCUUAUCUCUCAUGUUAAAAAUUAAGUAUCAGAAUACAGUGCUAACUGACAUAAUAUUUUCUUAGUGACAAUCUUUUAAUUGUUUUGCACUGAUUUACAUAAAAAUUGUCUGUUGAGUCCUACACUAAAUAACCUGGGCUUGUAUUUUGUCUGUUUUUAUUUCGUUUUUUAAGUAAUCAGUUUUUUUGUGUGUGUUUUACAAAAAUUGUCCCUGACACAGAUUGGAAAUAAAAACAACUGGUCCCCAACCACUGAUAGUUUGAGAAGUACUCAUUUUUAGACCAGAGUGGGUAUCUUGUUUCAGUUUUGUUCUUUC